CGGGGUGCACCAGGCGCGAAAACUUUACAAUGCCGGCAACGGCGAUAAGGGAACCUCGAGUGCCAGGUUACAAAUCUGGCUGUCGUGAUGCCUAAAAAGCAUUGCAUAGCAAGGGCCGGGCAAGACCGGUGCCAGCCGCCGCGGUAACACCGGCGGCUCGAGUGGUAACCGUUAUUAUUGGGUCUAAAGGGUCUGUAGCCGGCCGGAUAAGUCUCUUGGGAAAUCUGGCGGCUUAACUGUCAGGCUUUCAGGAGAUACUGUCUGGCUCGAGGCCGGGAGAGGUGAGAGGUACUUCAGGGGUAGGGGUGAAAUCUUGUAAUCCUUGAAGGACCACCAGUGGCGAAGGCGUCUCACCAGAACGGACCUGACGGCAAGGGACGAAAGCUAGGGGCACGAACCGGAUUAGAUACCCGGGUAGUCCUAGCCGUAAACGAUACUCGCUAGGUGUCGGCCACGGUGCGACCGUGGUCGGUGCCGUAGGGAAGCCGCGAAGCGAGCCACCUGGGAAGUACGGCCGCAAGGCUGAAACUUAAAGGAAUUGGCGGGGGAGCAC
This 553-nucleotide ribosomal RNA is filed under the name uncultured archaeon. RNAcentral's name for it is "bacterial SSU rRNA". It matches the Rfam family "Archaeal small subunit ribosomal RNA", at positions 326 to 879 of the family's 1478-position model. The record is from RNAcentral.